GCUGUAGCUCAGUGGUACAGCAUCUGCUUGACACGUGGAAGGUCCCGGGUUCAAACCCUAGCAUCUCCA
Molecule: transfer RNA, 69 nt
Filed under: Sphaerodactylus townsendi
Lineage: Eukaryota; Metazoa; Chordata; Lepidosauria; Squamata; Sphaerodactylidae
Description: tRNA-Val
Rfam family: tRNA
About the family: Transfer RNA (tRNA) molecules are approximately 80 nucleotides in length.
Source: RNAcentral